Molecule: small nucleolar RNA, 107 nt
Organism: Humulus lupulus (European hop)
Lineage: Eukaryota; Viridiplantae; Streptophyta; Magnoliopsida; Rosales; Cannabaceae
Source: RefSeq, a predicted model, not a curated record
AUUUGGUGAUGGGGGCAGCUAGCACACAACUUCUUAAAUCACUCCCAGUAUUCAUAGAGAGUCUCACCACUGCACUGUCAAAUUCCACAAAUUUCCUUCCUUAUACU